Molecule: ribosomal RNA, 449 nt
Filed under: uncultured bacterium
Lineage: Bacteria
Description: bacterial SSU rRNA
Rfam family: Bacterial small subunit ribosomal RNA
Source: RNAcentral
UGGGGAAUUUUGGACAAUGGGCGCAAGCCUGAUCCAGCAAUGCCGCGUGAGUGAAGAAGGCCUUCGGGUUGUAAAGCUCUUUUGUCAGGGAAGAAACGGUGUGUUCUAAUACAGUGGGCUAAUGACGGUACCUGAAGAAUAAGCACCGGCUAACUACGUGCCAGCAGCCGCGGUAAUACGUAGGGUGCAAGCGUUAAUCGGAAUUACUGGGCGUAAAGCGUGCGCAGGCGGUUUUGUAAGUCUGUCGUGAAAUCCCCGGGCUCAACCUGGGAAUUGCGAUGGAGACUGCAAGGCUAGAAUCUGGCAGAGGGGGGUAGAAUUCCACGUGUAGCAGUGAAAUGCGUAGAGAUGUGGAGGAACACCGAUGGCGAAGGCAGCCCCCUGGGUCAAGAUUGACGCUCAUGCACGAAAGCGUGGGGAGCAAACAGGAUUAGAUACCCCCGUAGUCC